GCGAAGCUAUGAACCGAAGCCCCAGUAAACGGCGGCCGUAACUAUAACGGUCCUAAGGUAGCGAAAUUCCUUGUCAGGUAAAUUCUGACCCGCACGAAUGGCGUAACGACUUGGGCGCUGUCUCAACGAGAGAUCCGGUGAAAUUUUAAUACCUGUGAAGAUGCAGGUUACCCGCGACAAGACGGAAAGACCCCAUGGAGCUUUACUGCAGCUUGAUAUUGAAUUUGGGUACGAUCUGUACAGGAUAGGUGGGAGCCGU
Molecule: ribosomal RNA, 259 nt
Filed under: Paenibacillus polymyxa
Lineage: Bacteria; Bacillati; Bacillota; Bacilli; Caryophanales; Paenibacillaceae
Description: partial 23S ribosomal RNA
Rfam family: Bacterial large subunit ribosomal RNA
Source: RNAcentral